Taeniopygia guttata (zebra finch) is the source of this 2413-nucleotide non-coding RNA. The record is from RefSeq and is a predicted model, not a curated record. NCBI's taxonomy places the organism in Eukaryota, Metazoa, Chordata, Aves, Passeriformes, Estrildidae.
UUCCCAGAGGUGAAGAAAAUAGACCUAAUUUCUGGAUGACCUCAUGUUUUAAGUGUCACCUUGCUUCAUCUUUGUGAUUUAACACACCUGCAGCACAGCCUGUGCAAAGGGACUUGAACUCCUGCUAGUGAGCUGCUGCACUGGCACAGCUGCCUGUUGCUGCCCCACAGAUUCAUAAACUACAGGCAGAAAAUCUCUUUUCUAAAGGAUUUCAACCCUUGAAGCUCAGGAUACAGUCAUCUCAAGACCAAUUUAAAAAAAAAAAACCAACAAACUACUGAUGGGAAUGGAAGAUUCUGCAUUGGACUUAAUUAUCUAGGGCAAGGAGAAAACAUCCCUUUCAUCCAGGAAUUGUGCAAUUGUCUAUUAUGGGCUACAGCAUCUGCUUUAAAGUGAGUGGCAAAACUCAUAUUGAAAUAAACAUAAGAAGGAUUUGACCCAUGAGGGUUCAGACAUUUUGAAGCAUCUGAUUUGCUGAUCACUGACAAAAAAAGAACAUGGGAGAAACAAUUCAGUACUUAGACAAUAUACUUGCAAUGACUGAUAAGCUUCUCUCUCCUUCAAAAAACCCAAACCAAGCAAAAAACCUGAGCUGAUGUCUCCACAGUGCACAUGUGUAUUUAUGAGAGUAAGUUUGCUUGUUGCCCAGGUGGAAGUCCAGGCCAUGGACAGAGAAAAUAAAUUUUGUAUGUAAUUUGGGGGUGUCCUUGAGCUCAAGAGUGUGUUUAUUUAUAUAUUUUUAAUAGAGGAGCAGUAUAGGAAAUAAUCAGCGCUUGAAAGACUGGUCAAGGCUAUCAUUACAAAUAAAGAAACCAAGCUAAAAGACCAAUGUGUUAGGCUGACAAACUGGAUUUUAAAUUAAGUUUUAGCUGGAAUGAGUUUCUAAAGCUAUUUUUAGCCUCAACCAUGUGAGAAGCACAUGGCUCCAUAAAUACAUUCCCCUCAAGAAUAAGUUAAUGGGGGUGGGGGGUGUGGAAGGAAACAACCUAAACAAUUCAUUUAAAGUUAAUAACUGAGUCAAGAAUUUUAUAGCUUGGUUUUUGAAGCAUUUGUCAUUAAAGUGUGAUUCACUUUUGCAAUUACAUCUACUCACAGCCCGACAGUGCAUGGGACAGUGGGUGAUGGAAGGUUCGAGUGGGCCCCUCUCAGCUGCCCUGGAGCUCAGCAAGAGGGGAAUUGCUCAGCAUUUUGGGGCAGCUGUGGUAAGCUCUGGCUCUGAAACACCCCACAAAAGAACCUGCCUUUUCCUUCGCUCUUACAGAGAGGGCUUUGGGAGAAUCAGCCUACAUGAAACCCUCCGGGCAUCGUGUUGGAAAACCGCACGUAAGCAUAACAGUAAAGAAAGGAACAGUCACAAAAUAAUGCCCAAACAUUUUCACCAAAUAUGCAGGCAGGGACACACUGCAUGCCCUAAACACAUUUGGUCUUCCAGCAGAAGAGAGCACUCCCAAGAGGAAGGGUUUGUGCAACAGAAUUUGUAGCUGUUUUCCCAGCUACAUCAGCACACCUCACAUAAAGGCCAUAGCUCCUCCACAAACCCAGUCUCCUCUGGGUUGAGAUAAAGAUGACAAAGGACUUGUGCAAUUAAAGAAUAUCAUUACGUCCUCAGUCUUCAAGCAUUUCAGUCAGGAGAUGCUCCUUAGCUUUAGAAAAGAAAUUAAAGAGGCAAAAAAUAGAUAAUUGGGACUAUAGGGCUUGUUUAUUCUGGUUUAUCCCCAGAUCCAUGAGGUCACAGGCCAGUUGCUUUGGUGCUGCAGCUCCCUGGAUCUGUUGAUGAGUAAAUCCAGUCGUGGUAUGAGAGCAGACAUGGAGGACUUGGCUGCUUCUUCAUUUUACUUUUUUUUUUUAAGUCAUUAUAGACAUCAAAUUGCUGUUGUCAUGGUGAAUUUGGCUCCCAGUCUGGAGGUGACCCUCUGAGGGAUCUCCAAGACCAUCUGUGGCCAACAGGGUCAUGGAGCAAGAGCAGCUGGACCUCUGUGCUGAUGAAAGAUCUGGAGGAGUUAGCUGUCUGUUCCAGUUUUGCAGAUUUAUUAUUAAUUUUUGUCAUGUUGGAUGGGGGAUGUAAAGGUUCCUCCCUCAGUUGCCAUGCCUGCUUUGUUAUGUGGGAUUUUCUCUGGUACAUGAUGCACAUAAAGGUUAAAGGAAAUGCAGAAAUCCAGAAAAGAGACUCCAUUAGUUGAAAUGGCAAUGAACUAUAAUUUUUGGCAUGCUGAAGCUUGGGUUUCACCUCCCUGCUCUGUAUGUUCAUGUGUGUAUCUCUGACUAUGGACUUAAUUUUCUUAAACUGUACAGAGAAGUUUAUCUUUGGUUACUUCUACUGUGGACUACUGGCUUGCCUCCUUUCAACCUACAGAUCAAAGACAUCAUGUAAAAACAGUGCAAUUAUGACUAAAAUAAACACUUUAAACUCUGA